Molecule: ribosomal RNA, 375 nt
Filed under: Usnea strigosa
Lineage: Eukaryota; Fungi; Ascomycota; Lecanoromycetes; Lecanorales; Parmeliaceae
Description: partial 18S ribosomal RNA
Source: RNAcentral
UGGUCAUUUAGAGGAAGUAAAAGUCGUAACAAGGUUUCCGUAGGCGGAACACUGCAUCCUUUCGGGUACAUCUGCCGAAACCUUAGUGGAUUGAUUAGGCGACUCUAAACAAGUAUAAUCCUCGCGGCUCACCCCUCGAGCACUAGCCUUCCCCUCGUGGAUGGCGACAUUACCAGUAUGCGGGAACAUUCGACUCUGUUGGAUAACCCGCAGCCACGUUCGUGGCCCACAGGCUAAAUGGUAGUGGGCGUAGGUGCCGAGCCGCCUAUGCUUCAGAUAUAGUCGGUCCCCAGAUGCCUCUGGGAAACUUGUGUGGAUUACUGCACCCACGCAAGCGAGUCAACGUUCCGUAGGUGAACCUGCGGAAGGAUCAUU